ACGAAGGCAGCAGUGGGGAAUAUUGGGCAAUGGGCGCAAGCCUGACCCAGCGACGCCGCGUGAGGGAAGAAGGUCUUCGGAUUGUAAACCUCUGUAGACAGGGACGAAGGAAGUGACGGUACCUGUAAAGUAAGCCACGGCUAACUACGUGCCAGCAGCCGCGGUAAUACGUAGGUGGCGAGCGUUAUCCGGAUUUACUGGGUGUAAAGGGUGUGUAGGCGGGGAAUCAAGUCAGAUGUGAAAAUUACGGGCUCAACCCGCAACCUGCAUUUGAAACUGAUUUUCUUGAGUGUGGGAGAGGUAAAUGGAAUUCCCGGUGUAACGGUGAAAUGUAUAGAUAUCGGGAGGAACACCAGUGGCGAAGGCGGUUUACUGGACCACAACUGACGCUGAGACACGAAAGCGUGGGGAGCAAACAGGAUUAGAUACCCUGGUA
This 436-nucleotide ribosomal RNA is filed under the name uncultured Oscillospiraceae bacterium. RNAcentral's name for it is "partial 16S ribosomal RNA". It matches the Rfam family "Bacterial small subunit ribosomal RNA", at positions 341 to 792 of the family's 1533-position model. The record is from RNAcentral. Lineage: Bacteria; Bacillati; Bacillota; Clostridia; Eubacteriales; Oscillospiraceae.